RNAcentral lists this ribosomal RNA (482 nucleotides) under Fusarium equiseti. RNAcentral's name for it is "eukaryotic LSU rRNA". The stretch from base 115 to 268 matches the Rfam family "5.8S ribosomal RNA". Lineage: Eukaryota; Fungi; Ascomycota; Sordariomycetes; Hypocreales; Nectriaceae. The record is from RNAcentral.
CCUAUACGUUGCCUCGGCGGAUCAGCCCGCGCCCUGUAAAACGGGACGGCCCGCCCGAGGACCCUAAACUCUGUUUUUAGUGGAACUUCUGAGUAAAACAAACAAAUAAAUCAAAACUUUCAACAACGGAUCUCUUGGUUCUGGCAUCGAUGAAGAACGCAGCAAAAUGCGAUAAGUAAUGUGAAUUGCAGAAUUCAGUGAAUCAUCGAAUCUUUGAACGCACAUUGCGCCCGCCAGUAUUCUGGCGGGCAUGCCUGUUCGAGCGUCAUUUCAACCCUCAAGCUCAGCUUGGUGUUGGGACUCGCGGUAACCCGCGUUCCCCAAAUCGAUUGGCGGUCACGUCGAGCUUCCAUAGCGUAGUAAUCAUACACCUCGUUACUGGUAAUCGUCGCGGCCACGCCGUAAAACCCCAACUUCUGAAUGUUGACCUCGGAUCAGGUAGGAAUACCCGCUGAACUUAAGCAUAUCAAUAAGCGGAGGAA